Molecule: ribosomal RNA, 470 nt
Filed under: uncultured bacterium
Lineage: Bacteria
Description: partial 16S ribosomal RNA
Rfam family: Bacterial small subunit ribosomal RNA
Source: RNAcentral
GACGAACGCUGGCGGCGUGCUUAACACAUGCAAGUCUGGGGGCUGGGCGACGCGUCACCGGCGAACGGGUGCGGAACACGUGAGCGACCUGCCCUGUGUGUGGGGGAUAGCCGGGCCAACGGCCGGGUAAUACCGCAUACGUCGCGCGCUUGGAGGCGCUGGGAGAAAGCCCGGAAGGGCGCACGCGGCGGGGCUCGCGGCCUAUCCGCUAGUUGGGGGGGUAGCGGCGCACCAAGGCGACGACGGGUAGCUGGUCUGAGAGGAUGGGCAGCAACAUUGGGACUGAGCGACGGCCCAGACUCGUACGGGAGGCAGCAGUGGGGAAUCUUGCGCAAUGGGCGAAAGACUGACGCAGCGACGCCGAGUGGAGGAUGCGGCCCUUCGGGGUGUAAACUCCUGUUGCUCGGGAAGAACGGCGGGACGCGGCCGGCUUGACGGUACCGGGUGAAGAAGCACCGGCUAACUCUGUG